GAUCCGGACCGCUUGUGAUCUGCUCCCUUCUGGAUAGCCUUAGGAGAACACACGCGCCUGCCCGGUGUGCCUCUCUCGCCAUAGAGCUGCUGUCUGUGGAGAUAAGCGAGGCAUAGUAGGACUUGAUGGAGCAGGCAGGGAACGGGGCUCAGAGCAAGGGCAUCAUCACUGCUCAGCAGUCGCCCCCAAGGCGGGUCGGCCGAAUCCGGAGACAGAGAGGGAGAGAGGACGCUUGGCGAGGGUGACAAUAACGGCGAUGAAAAAUAAUUGCAAUGCCUUCCCCCCGCUCCUUUCCAGCAGUGUUUCUGCUGCCUUUCACUCUCCGCUGCCAGCGUGCAAGGCGCGAGAAGGCGAGGAAAGUUUGCAAGGCGUCCACCAGUUUGUUUAAAUAAAGGGAUAUAAGAGGACCAUUGAUCAGCCAAGGAAAGCAGUUUCAGCUUUUAAAAAAAAAACCACAAGAAGGCAAAUGCAAAAUUAAAACCGCGCAAACCAGGUUAUGCACGAGCAGACAGUAGCAGUAGUUUUGCAGGCAGCUUGGCUCUGGCUUUUCAGCGGAUGCAAAAGGUUAGAAAGGUUUGCAGGAGCAAAGUUUCCGUCGUAGCUUCAGCGCCUUUCCUCCUUUGCUUGGAAAUGCGCUCUGCUUCUCUCAGCAUUCGGCUGCAGAGGGCUCAUUCGCCACGAAGUCGGUGAGGAGAGGAUUUGUUUCCCAAGCCAGCUAACAGAUCAGCGAGUUAAAGCCUCAGUUCAGCCGAUCAGCCUGGAAAGAGAAAACGUGGAGGUCGGCUAAGGAAAAACGCGCGCGCACACACAGCCAAGGGGAGAAAAUAUGCAUGUAUAUGCAUGCGGGACAACUUGCAUCCCUGGGCGACCGUGGGAGAAGGGAAGCAGGGGGAUUCCUAGCUUGCAACAACAUGUGCCACGGAGCUGUGUCAAAAGAUUCUGCCAGAGCAAGGGAGUACCAGAAAUAAGAUGGAAGAGGGUAUUUAUUUAGGCACCCAACAUCACUUUCUAAGAACAACAUCAAUCAUCAUAUAGAAGAUGACCGACUGAAUGUGUAGCUCUGCUGAGAUUGGAACCCUUAAAAAGAAGCAAUGGCGCGGUCACGCAGAUCUUACCGAAGCAGAAGAGUGCGUCGUACUAGAAGAGCAAGACAUCGCAGGAGAGUACCCGCCAGAAGAAUUAGGCGGAGAGGUAAAACAGGCAGACGCCAAUCCCAUUACCGGAGAGCCUCAGCUACCUCCUAGUCUCCUUCACUUCCUGGAGUAGAAGCAGAAGUGCCAUUCCCAUAAACCAACAGACCAUGAGACCAAGAUCAUGGCAGUAGCCAGAAGCACCAAGCACAAGCAGUUGCAACAUGUUGGGCAAUAAACCAUCUGAAAGCCA
Long non-coding RNA from Hemicordylus capensis (graceful crag lizard), 1383 nucleotides. RefSeq lists it as uncharacterized. NCBI's taxonomy places the organism in Eukaryota, Metazoa, Chordata, Lepidosauria, Squamata, Cordylidae. The record is from RefSeq and is a predicted model, not a curated record. The transcript is spliced from 4 exons.